GACAGAGGGGGCAAGCGUUGCUCGGAAUUACUGGGCGUAAAGGGCGCGUAGGCGGGAUGGCAAGUCGGUCGUGAAAUCCCUCGGCUCAACUGAGGAUCGUCGAUCGAUACUGCCGUUCUUGAGGAUUGCAGAGGAGACUGGAAUUCCCGGUGUAGUGGUGAAAUGUGUAGAGAUCGGGAGGAACACCGGUGGCGAAGGCGGGUCUCUGGGCAAUUCCUGACGCUGAGGCGCGAAAGCGUGGGGAGCAAACGGG
Molecule: ribosomal RNA, 253 nt
Filed under: uncultured bacterium
Lineage: Bacteria
Description: partial 16S ribosomal RNA
Rfam family: Bacterial small subunit ribosomal RNA
Source: RNAcentral